UUCUUAGCCAUACUGUUAAACACUCAUUAUAAUACCGGAAUAAUUGACUUGUACCAACCUGUCCUGCUCUGUGAAGGCACAGUCCCCAGUUGGUAUCAUCAUGCAGCUGCCAUAGAAACACUUUUAGGUGUCUCAGGCUCAUCUUGAAUUCACCAGAGACAUUUGGCUCAUUAAUUCAAAUGUCAAGGAAAAUGCAUCGACUGCCAGGAGUCGGUCACUACCAGGCACCAAAAAUAAUGGGAGAGAGGUUUGGUUCUGAUCUAUAACGUUCCUUCACAAGUUCCAUUGGCAAGGAAAAAAAAAGGAGGAAUCACUAAAAAGCAAAGGUGAUGCGUGUCCUAUGUUGAUGAGCCACAUGUUACCUUGAUAAAGAAAGUUCUAAAAGUGAAUUUGCAGCACCCUCAAGACAGUAUUGUUGAGAGCCACCCUGUGAAAUUUUGUGAUGCUGGCAGCUGCUGCACCAGCCAGCCCAGCAAGAACCCUGAUUAUGAAGAAUAUGAGCUGGGGCAACCCAGAAAGAAGGGGCCUCUUCACCAGGCUGCCAAAAGUGGUGCUGUUGUGGCAAAUGCCAGCCAACACAGAAGUACCACGAACAGCUCUUGCUGAAGGAAAAAAGGGCAGCACAUCACAACCUCCUGCUGGUUUCAGCAGCUGGUGCUGUCUGGUCGCACCCUGAAGAAAGCCAAGAGUCGCCUCAAAGCACAACCCUAAGGAAGGAAGCCCAAAAGAGGAAUCACUUGGAAAUGUGGUGCUGAGCAUUUUUCUGCCCCACCCUCCCCAGCUUUCUGCAGCCCUGGAUCAAGAGGUUCUAGACAGAGGCCACAGAACAAGUUUCCUAACUCAUCACUGAAGGCCUCAUGGUCUGACCAGAUUAAACACACUCAUUUUAGAUGGUCCCAGUGACACAGACAAAGCAUCUUCUGAAAAGCCUAGCUCUUCUCUUUGUAUUGUUCUUUUUAGCUUGAACUCAGGAAUUACAUGAAAAGGACUUUUACCCUCUUUGUGUAAUAUUUUUGGGCAUUUCAUUCACACUCAUUGGAAUUGUAAUGUUGGACUGUUUGUUCUCACCUUCAAGCAGGCCUUGCUUCCUACACCUCCUCCUCCUGAACUUGUGAGAGUAGCUCUGUGCUAUGAUGUGUGAGGUCAGAGUACAGCCGAGGAGCAGCGAACUCAGGGUAGAUUAAUCUGUGCUCCAACACUUUUUCCAUUCUCUAUUUUUGUUAUAUUUAGGCGUGUUCUAUUUUUGUAGAACCAAGGUGAAAAGAAUUGUAACAGGUAUGUUCUGCACUCCUUUCAGCAAAGCUUUGUUCUCUCUGAGCUAACCCAGCAGUUUGCCAUUUCCAUUUCCCACAUGUAUUUGAAGAUAUAUUGCUGGCAGAUUAUGCCAGCUGUAUUUAUAUCUUCAUCAAUUGUGUUAACAUUCAUAUUGCAGCAUCUUACAUAUCUAGAGUGGGAAAAUAUUACCGUAGGCAUUAAUGCAUUUCUGUUCUAGCAUAUGAACCAAUUCUCCUUUUGAAAAUAAUUACACUGAAUAUUCACCCAAGACUGUGAUUUUGAUCUCUUCUCACAUUUGCAUCAAAGUUCUUCCUUACCCUUUCCCCGCUUUUUUUGGUCCUUUCGGUU
Molecule: long non-coding RNA, 1623 nt
Organism: Chiroxiphia lanceolata (lance-tailed manakin)
Lineage: Eukaryota; Metazoa; Chordata; Aves; Passeriformes; Pipridae
Exons: 4
Source: RefSeq, a predicted model, not a curated record